RNAcentral lists this ribosomal RNA (446 nucleotides) under uncultured bacterium. RNAcentral's name for it is "partial 16S ribosomal RNA". It matches the Rfam family "Bacterial small subunit ribosomal RNA", at positions 338 to 795 of the family's 1533-position model. The record is from RNAcentral.
CCUACGGGGGGCAGCAGUCGAGAAUCAUUCACAAUGGGGGAAACCCUGAUGGUGCGACGCCGCGUGGGGGAAUGAAGGUCUUCGGAUUGUAAACCCCUGUCAUGUGGGAGCAAAUUAAAAAGAUAGUACCACAAGAGGAAGAGACGGCUAACUCUGUGCCAGCAGCCGCGGUACUACAGAGGUCUCAAGCGGUGUUCGGAAUCACUGGGCGUAAAGCGUGCGUAGGCUGUUUCGUAAGUCGUGUGUGAAAGGCGCGGGCUCAACCCGCGGACGGCACAUGAUACUGCGAGACUAGAGUAAUGGAAGGGGAACCGGAAUUCUCGGUGUAGCAGUGAAAUGCGUAGAUAUCGAGAGGAACACUCGUGGCGAAGGCGGGUUCCUGGACAUUAACUGACGCUGAGGCACGAAGGCCAGGGGAGCGAAAGGGAUUAGAUACCCGAGUAGUC